This 10852-nucleotide long non-coding RNA is filed under the name Setaria italica (foxtail millet). RNAcentral's name for it is "long non-coding RNA (SITA_LNC006736)". Lineage: Eukaryota; Viridiplantae; Streptophyta; Magnoliopsida; Poales; Poaceae. The record is from RNAcentral.
AACCCUACAACUCUCUAGCUCUCAGGCCUUUUGGCUCUCCCUCUUCCUCCUGCGCCCCUUUCUCCCUGCGCCUCCACCACAACGGCCGCCGGCCACCACCCUCUCCCUCCCCAGUACGCAAGCCCAUAACAUUGAGACUUGUAGUUCAUUCAAGAAUAGCCACCAGCACAAACUUCAAAAUUGGUUAAGCCGCUUCAUGGUAGGCAAAUAUUAGGCCUUUGGUUUUCCUUUUUUAAGUUUGUACAAAAUAUCAGCAUCCAAUAAAUACUUGUACUAUGUAUUUUUUUUUAAUCAUGCAGCUUCUUGAAGAAUAGCCACCAGCACAAACUUAAAAAUUUGGUUAUUCUGCUUAAAGGCAAGGUAAGUCAGCCGCUGCUUGUUAGUUUUGAAAGAAAGACUGAAAGGCUGACCUGUUAUAUUUGAAACACUCAAAACCAUAGAUGUCCAAGACCCCAAUCUGUGACCUUGACUCCACGUCCUGCCCAAUGGACUUAUUAAUGUUGUCAACGAGCCUGCAGUAGCCACGCUAUAAGCACCACAUUCAAAAAUGUAAAACAACAUGAAGAGACACGGUCAUACCAAUCAAAUAGUCGAGCAUAAACAGUCUUUGCAAGAGUAUCACGACCAAUGACAGCUGCAGAACUGUCAACUGCCUUGAUUAUGUUUCCUUCAGGAGUUUUAAUUGUACGAUAGCACAGAGUUGAAAGCAAAAGCCCUGCAUCGACCCUACAGAUAAACAAACAAGACCUUCUAUAAAAUGGUGCCUAGACAUAACAUGAUUAUGAAUAAUGUUAAAUUGGUGAUGCUCACGAAGAAUCACGAGGCAUAUGAUCAUGAGUACUGUUAAUAUCUUAUAUUUCCAAAAAAAAAAAGAACAUCGUACUAGCUCCGUUCUUAAAUAUAUGUUUCUACAAAUAUUUAUGCAAAUAGGUAGACCUACAAGUUAAAUCUAACGUACAUUUGACGAUAGACGUAGUGGUACUCAAUUUACUUUAUUUAACUAUUUCAUUGAACAGAUUUGUUGGUCAGUCAGUGGUGUCAUAUAUUUAAGAACGUUGGUAGUAUCUACAAAGCAAUGUCCAUACUGAUAAAGCUUAAACCAAAUGAGUAAGCUUUAGGCAAGUACUGGUAGUCUUCUCAAAAAGUUACAAGUUUCAAAUGAGGAAGCAGUUUCAUGAGCUUGAUAAAAUAAAGUGAAGGCCAUGAGACAUAUUUAAUCUAGAAGAUUUAACAAAGUCAUCGAUGCAUAAGGCAUUCCUUCACUACAUUUGAUGGCAUGGCAUGGUGUUAAUUUGGCCGUUAAUAAAGAAAAACAGAAGACCAAAGCAUUUGCCAAUUUUGCGUGAACAAAAUAAGGCUGCUACUUAUGCAAAAGGCUUACUUUUGUGAAGGGGGCAUAUCCCUUUAACUUUGGGUUACUCUAUAGGAGACUCAGGGUUUUGAUGCAAAGAGUUCGUGGUGAGGCAACACCUGUUAGCUAUCUAUGAAAUAGUUUAUCAAAAAGCUGGAAAAACAUAACUAACAAGAAAGAGAAAAUGCAAACACACUAUGACAACAUCACAAAGUAACAUGUUCACUUUGCUUUUUUGUGAUACAGAGCAGAAGCAGGUAAGAAGACUAAGAAUAAAAAUUAAUAAAAUACUUACAUAAGCAAAUCAGCAGCUGUCUGGAGAUGGAAUUUGCAUUUUUCAUCCUUAAUAACAGAUGAAUCAAACUCUUUACCAGGAGAAAAUUCAAUAUUCCCUAGAUGAAGGAUAGCAGCCACAAGUCGGAAUAUAGCUUCCUAAGAGUGAUAGGUAGUAUCAUAAGUCAAAGUUAUUUAUCAAGAGAAAAAGAAUUGAGUGAUUUUCUUUCCCAGUGUAGGAAUGAGGCCAAGAUGAACCUGAUCAGAAAAACAUAUACCAACGAUGUCCAUUGCCCUUCGUGUUUUUAAAUAUUCCUCUGCAUCACUGACCCCUUGUAAUUCAUACAUAUGGCUUUGAUUCACAUAGUUAAAGUUCCUAGGGUGAGCAAGCUUGUAUUUGUCUGCAUCCUGGCAAUACAAAUUUACAUAGCAUAAGGCAUCAAUUAUGAGCUAAAUACCUCUUAAUUGUGGCGCAUACAGUUUCAUAGAAGUUUACAUGAUUGAUAAUACAACAUACAUUUAUAAAUAUUGACCUGCAAGCAGGUUUAACCCAACAGAGUCCCAAUCUCUCUCAUGAUGAUGCAAAUCAUUCGAUUGAGUAAUCGACACAAAUACCAAAAUACCAAACUUUGAAACAAAAUUGAGGAUGAAAUGAUUCCAUAAACCAAAAGCAUCUAUUUUACGAAAUGAAAAUGUCCAUUUCACUCCCCCGAAGGUUUUCAGUUGUCCAGAAUAACCCUCAAAACCAUUUUUCUAGUUCACUUUAUGUUCUCAAACUACUACCAAACAGUCACUUCACUCCCUUUACGUUUGAGGCAAACCUUCACUCCUUAGUGAUAUUUGUUCUUUUUGUUUCUCUUUACACAAGUCUUAUUGUAAGUUGAAACUUCUGUCAGAUUACAGAUGACAACAUAUGUUAUCUUAUGAUAUAUUCAUAAUUUUUCAUGACUACUUGCAUAUCAUGGGAGCUCCUGAAAGAGGUUUAAUACUCGUGAAAUGGAAAUGUUUUGGCCUCCUGAAAUAUAUUUCCAGGCUAAAUUUUAAGGGGAACAUCAUAAUUAGUCUCAGGGGUAACAAUCAAUACAAUCGACAUUAGGUCUAUAGACAAACCUGCCCAGAUGCACAAAGUUGAUAAAAACAGUGGUAAUUCCUUUCAGACUCAGAUAUUUGCACAACACGAGACCGUUCCAGGAGAUAAGUUCGAACUGCAGCCCCAGAUAUUUUACCCGAUUUGUCAAAUUGAAUUUCAACAAAUUUCCCAAAUCGACUGCAAUCAAAUAAAACUAGUAAGUAAAAAUAUGGUUAUAUGCAAGAAAACAGUACACCAGCAAGUAUAUCAUGCUUAUCUACAGCUUUUUUUCCACAUCUUCGAGCAUACGGAUAGGAGUUUCUAGCUUCAUUUAUUUUGAUCAUGAGGGUUACACCUACACUGUUAUAAUUUUAUGCUCAAUCAAUAACUAUAGCACUGUCACUGUUCUAAGAAUAUAAAAUGAUAGAUGUAUCUAGUAUUCUAGUUGCACCUGAACAAAAGAAUCAAACAAGCUUUCUUUUUAUGAAAAAUAGUGAAACAAGUUGACUGACUCAAAGAAAAUUAAUGAACAAAGCUCACCUGGAGUUAUCAUUUCUCACUGUCCGUGCAUUACCAAAAGCCUCCAACAGUGGAUUUGACUACAUUGAAAUGAGAGCAGAAAAGAUGCAGAGUUGAGAAAACAUACAGGCAAAACUUAUUUAGGGGAAAAACUGUUGGGAAUACAUAAAGCCUUUUACAGGACACGUUAAUCAUGGCCCAAAAGCAUUGAUGAGAAAACUGAAAGUUACUUCUAGAACUUGUUGCUCCACAGAGCGGACAUCACCAGCUGCACGCCCCCCAACAAAAGUAAGGUAUCGCAUAAUCAGCUUGGUGGUCUCCGUUUUCCCAGCACCGCUUUCUCCACUGACUAAUAUGGACUGGCUGCGGUUCUCGCUAACCAUAGCUCUUCAAUAAAGAGAGAAAUGUGUCACAUAACACUCCAUAUUAUAAUCUCUAACAUGCUGUAAGCAGGUUUCCAUGUUUCAUACUUGUAUGCUGCAUCGGCAAUGGCAAAAACAUGCGGACUCAAUUCACCGAACUGCACACCUCUGUACUGCUCCAUCAUAUGCAUAUCGUACAUAUGAGGCAGCUUCGCGAAAGGAUUUACAGCGAUCAAGAUGCGCCCUGUGUAUGUCUACAUAAAUUAAACCAACAGGAUAGUCAGAAUAACAGAUGGCACUAAUAACACCACGCAUCAGCAGGUGAUCUAGAAACCCAUGUAAGCAUCAUGUUCUGACGAAACAUAACAUUUAACACAGAUGGAGAAAGGAACCGUUUCCCCCAUUCCACAAAUAUUGGAUACAUGUGAUCUUACACGAGGACAUGAUCCUCCUUUAACACGACUUGGUAGAGCAGCCGACCAAUGUGCAACCAGUGGACAUUGUGAGAUCAUAGAGAGAGUAGAAAAGGUGGGCACACUCACGUAGAUCUCGUUGAGCGUGUAUCGUCGCGCAAGGUUGCAGAGAACCCCAGGCUCGUGAAGGUAGACGAGCUUGGUCAUGUCGUCGACGCCCCCAAGGUCGGCCUCCGUGUCCCGCGGCAGGACCUUCCUGCCAUCCACCACAGCCUGCCCACGCCGCAACCCAGCCACAAAGUUAACCAAGACAAUCCGCCGCCAGGCAAUUCAACAAACACGUAGGCUGCAGCGCACGCAGCGGGGGCUUCGAAGCAAAGAGUUAGGCCGUUGCGCCCUCACCUUGACGCCGGUGGAUAGAACGACCGUGACCGAGGGCUUCGAGGACGGGGAGGCGGGGGAGGAGACGACCUCGGCCUCGGCCCAGGCGAGGUCCGGGUGCUCGACCCACACGGCGGUGCCGGGGCGGAAGAUCAUCGCGGCGGCGGCGAGGAGGAGGCGGUGGCGGUGGGGGUCGCAGCCGUGGCGCUGCGGUUUGUGAGGGAUUCCAGACGGUGGGAGUGGGACUAGCCAUUUCGAAGGAGAGGUGGUCGGGAAGCGAGGGAGACGGCGGGAAGCGCGCUCGAGCGACCGCGUCUGGGGCGAACCAACCGUUGGAAAACGCAGGGAGCUCGUAACUCGUCAGGAGGCAGGAGGGAGGGAGAGAGAGCAGCCGUCAACUCACGAUGCCACGAAGGGUGUGGCGUGUUUGAGUUCUUAUUUUGUGUUUAUUUUAAAACCAUUUGUCAGAUAAAUAAAUUACAUGUAACCCCUUUCAAAAUAUAAAUUUUGUUCUAAGUAAGUUUUUUAACUUAGUAUAAAUCUUAGCAUGAUCGAUAUGAGUUUGGUGCGCAAGUAUAAAAAUUAAUAAUUAAGAAAUCCAGCUCAAUCGCAAUCAAUUGAUUGACAAUUGCGUUUGUUCUAAUACCAGCCAGCCACUUUAUCCUUACCACCAUCAAAACCUGGCUCUCGAGAUGUCUCUUAGCUGCUAGCUCAAGAUAAUUUUGAAGAUUAUGCUGUGAGAGAAAACAACGUCGAAAAAUGAGUGAGGCUACUCUUCUCUCCGCGCUAGUUUCAUAUGGUUUCAAGGAGUAGUAAGUUAGAUUAUUGGAGACAUAUUUCAGUUCGUACCUCAUGUCGUUCUGUUCCGUCUUUCCUCCUUGUCUCUAGGGACUUCUUACCAUCGAUUUUAUUGCUCCCCCUUACCUCCAUGGGAGCCCCUGCCCGUACACAAGCCUUUCAAGCCUUUUGGUGUUCUCCACCUCACCACGCUAUCUUCACGCUUUUCACACCACCACCAUGAGAGGACCCUCUGUUGUGAGCUUGUGGCUUUUCUUCUAAGAUGAAUCGAAUGGGUGAAUCUACACUUUGAAACCUAAUUACUUAAAAUUUUGUUAUAGUUAGGGAGAUAAAAAAAGGGCAAAAUAGGCAAUUUGGUCCUGAACUAUGCACAGAAGGUCAACUUUGUCCAUCAACUUUCAAAUUGGCCAAUUUAAUCCCUCAACUUUCGUUUUUGAUCAAACUCGUCCUUGUGCUGAUACGUGGCUCCAUAUUGUCAUGAAACUAAUACAAAAAGUCCUUUUUACCUUUAGCUCUUUUCUCUCUUCAUUUUUCACCUUUAGAAUUAUAAUAACGAAUGAUCCAAAAUAAAUAUGAGGAUACAUAUAUUUGUCGACGGAGUAUGGUAUAGCAUACCACAUAUGUUGAUUUUAGAGCAUGCGUGCACACAUUAAGUUGUAUAUAUACCAAACAAAUAUGAGUAAAUAUUUGUUUGGGUACAUAUAUUUUGCCUAUCAAAUUCGUAUGAGCACAUAAAUACUUUAAAGAGUACGAGUAGAUACACUUUUUACAAAACUAUAUUUUGUGUUGGUUUAAAAAACAUAUUGUUGUGUGCAUGUAUUAAGGGAGUAUAAGCACAUACAUGUUUGACCUACCUGAGCCAAGGGAAAAGGAGACCUUUUGCAUUAGUCUUAUGCAAACAUAGAGCACUACAUCAGCACAAGGACGAGUUUGACCUAAAAAUAAAAGUUGAGAAACUAUUUUGGCCAAUCUGAAAGUUGAGGGAUGAGCUUGACUCUUGGUGCAAAGUUUAGGAACCAAAUUACCUAUUUUACCAAAAAAAAUUGUUGAAUAUUUGGAGCUCUAAUUAGAGCGGGAAGGCAAAAAAAUGUUGAAUGUUUUAAAUCAUUUAAGCGAGUAUUGUUUAAGGAAGUUUGACUUAGAACUACUUAUAUUUUUUAUUGGAAAAGUACUCCCCUUCUUAAAUUACAGAUUAUUUUAGUUUUUCUAUAUUUAUGAUUUUUUAUGCACUUAAGUAUAUAAUAUAUUUAGAUAUGUAAUAAAAUAUAUGGAUCUAAAAAGACAAAACGACCGACAAUUUAAAAUAAAAUGGAGGCAGCAGUGAAAUACCUAAGUUCGAUAAAUUGAGAAGUGACCUCAGCGAGCUUGUUCAAUUAUUGAUUGUAGCAAAUUUUGUCUUAACUUUGUUUAUGUUAAAAAAAAAGAAAGGAACUGUCUCGAUUUCUCGUGAUAUCAUGAUUACCUUAGUUACACUACUAAGUUUCUGUUUCUAAGGGCUACUACUUUAUUAGUAGUAACAAAAUGUCUCGUAUACAGCAUGUACUAAGAGUACGUAACCUAACGAUUGGGAGCUCUCACACUUUUUAUAACGGCAACAAGUGCAGAGUGCAGGUACACAACCACGUCAAAAUAAUUCCUUGCAAAUAACAAAAACAUAGAAAAUGCAUGGUACCUAAUGCAAUUUGCUCUGCAAGAAAACUCUUGCGAUAAUAAUCAGUACGGAGUAGUAUUUUUUUCCCUCUCCCUCCCUUCCCAACUGCUCCAAUAAAAGUCUCUAUUUAACUCUUCUCUGAACACAACAAAAACUGCACACACAUACAAGGCACUAGAUGAAGAGCUCGAAUAAUGGAAGGGCCGGCUGCUCAGGAUGCAAUCCUGUUCGGGAAUCAGUCCUGCGACCCGGAUUGGAAGAUGAUGAAGGCCGUGAAGAUCCCGACCACGCCGGUGAGCCCCAGCGCCACCGUCGGCAGGGGGGCGGUCAGGCCAACGUUCUGAAGCACCCCUUUGCCGGUGGUCAGCUCCACGGCCACCACCCCCACGAAGCCCAGCAUCGCGCCGCGGCUUAGCCACACGUCCAGCCCGCCGCCGCCGCCGCCCUUGGCUCCCUGCUCGCACCUCACGCUAAGGGCCCUCGGCCUCGCGUUCCUCCUGCUACCUCGAGCAGUGGGGCGUGCUGACGUCACGGACAGCCGGGGAACGCCAUUGCCUGCAAGGAGAAGACGCGAGCAGGGAAGUGAGGAAGAUGGCAUCAUCGCACCCCGAAACAAAUUUUCUUGUCCCAACAAUGAGGGCGAGAGCAUAAAAGUAUAAAACAGCAAGAAAAUCAUGGCCAGCGAUCGAAUCUCCGAAACACCGCCAAUAAAACAUAGAGAUUUUGAUUGCUACCUGCUGCGGAGGCGAGACGGAGGCGAGGAGAAGCGGAGGAGAGGAGGGGAUGAGCCAUGGAUGGUGGAGCAGAGAAGGGAACAGGAGCACUAGCACCUUGCGGUUGCUUCCUGAUUCUUAUCCGCGGGGGCCGGUGGGCGCCCACAGGUCAGCGUCAGCUGUCCACCAGUGGCCGGGCGCGCUUGGUUGGUUUGCUAGCUGGCCUUGCCUCGCCUGACUCGGCAAGGCAAACCUUGCCAGCGUCGGAGAGAAGUUUUAAAAAAAGCAACCUCGCCAAGUUUUCACAAUGAGAGAUAACCGACAAGUCAUCGUAGCUUUGUUGUGCUUAUAGGUUUUAUCCCUAGCAAAGCAAGCAUCGGCAAGACAUCCAAGCACGCCCGUACUCUCCGUCCCAGAAUAUAACUUCAUUUAUAUUUUUCAAAAAUUAAAUUUUAUCAACACUACGUAAAGAAUAAUAAUAUAAAAAUAAUAUUAGCAGAUUUAUUAUGAACCAACUAUUAUAAUAUGUAAUCUUUUUCAUUUAAAAUAAAUUAUUUUUAGAGAUAUUGACUUUAGAAAAGUCUAAACGUAGCUAUAUUUUGGGACGGAGGAAGUAGGUGCAUCACAAAAUCUACAACAGAUUCGACAUCUAACGCUUGAGCUGCUACAGCAUAUUCCGAUCCAGCCAUCAUGGGAGCUCAUCAAGCUGCACUAUUCCAAUAUGAUUCGCUCAAAGAUCAUACUCUCUUAUCUUUUCUUCGACAAACGCCAAGAGAGUCGAUGAGGUUGGGCUAGGGUUAGAGCUUCCGACUUUGAGGGGAUUUUGUGGGCGUGGUAAUGUAAUGCGGAGGUCACUAGAUUGACGGUAGCAAUGGUUGCCAAUACAAGCGGAAUAACAUGAUACAUGGUUAUAGCUAACUAUAAUAGAGUUGGACGUAGAGGCAGAGUCAGAAAACUCAAAUUUUUUCUUGUUACGGGAGAGAGAGGCCAAUAAUGUUAAAAUUUUCAAAACCUAGUCAUUUGUUUUUGGAAACUUGCAUGUUUGGGGGCUGCUUUGCCCCUGCCCACCCCUUGCUUCCGCCACUGGUUGGGCGACGUUUGGAUGAGAUUGACAAUAGGAAUGUCAUACUCGUACUAGUUAGAAGGGACUAGGCAGUAGUCAUUGAUCCAGCGAUGGUUUGAGCCACCAAUAAGGACCUUUUGCUUGUAUAGUGGUUAGAAGGAAAUGGAUGGUGGGCAUUGAUACAACAAUAGAGCUACAAGAGACGAUGGAAGGGGGAAGCAUGUAGGGCUUGUUUGCUUCAGGUCCUGGGAGACUUGCCUGGCUCAGGUAGCAACCCCACGCGUUGGAUUUUGAGUGCCUGAGGUUGGAUGGUGCUGCCUGGUAGGCAACAACCAAACAAGCCCGUAGUCAUGGAGUCGAAGAAGAAAACUAGAAGAGAGAAAAUGAAGGUUGCGUGAAGUAGUGGACGGUGGAGGGGUUCAAUGGCUGUUGCUUCUAGCGAAAGCUACGAGACAUGGUGCUAGCCCACGUGGGUUGAAUGAACGGGAGGAGGGGUAUGGUGUAGAGAAACAUUCAACUCCGAGAAAGGUUGAAGAAGAGAAGGAUGUUAGGAGAUCCGCCAUUAGAUGUAGAUGAUAGUGUAGAAAAUAUUGAUGGAUUUUUCUUCAAAGAUUCUAUAUAGCUACUACCUUCAAGCUAUUGCAAAAAGGAGAUAGAAAUGGACGACAUGUCAUGCUGUGGUGGCAAUGGUGGUCUAUGCCAAGAAUGGCCAACGGUUUCAUUUUAGACUAUUGAUUGAUGAGUUAUCCUGCAACCUUUUACCAUUAUCACUUUUCAAACACUCCAUUGAAUGAUGAUGUAAUAAUAAACAACUAUGUAUGAAUUGGAUGAUGCAAAAAGUCAAAAAAGCUAGUCUGAAUUUCAACAUUUCAUAGAAAAUGUUUUCACGUCAAAAAUUAUUUCUUGUUUUUCAUGAAAAGUUCUAGGCGGACAUUCCUGAUACUUCAAAUUUUAGUUCUUACACUAAAUUUCACUAUUUAUUCUUAGUAAAAUAAUAGGAAAAGAAAAAACAAUUGUAUAUCGUAUAUCCCACUAAGGCCAUGUUUGUUUCCGAUUAUUUCUCGCUUACAAGCGAACAUAGACCGACCCAAACUGUCUGCUUAUUCCCCGUUUAGCAGACAAUCCGCUUAGCUCAAAAUCUUGGAAAUAACGUGCGGACGGAUGGACUUGUAGGUUAACGGUAGUUGCAAUUCUAAUUUUUUUUCCUAGAUAGAUGCACUUGUAGGUUACUGGUAGAUGCAAUUCCAUUGUUCUUUAAGUAUAGACUUGGAUUUUGAAUCAAGUAUGUAGUAUUCUAACAACAUAUUCUCCAUACAGCUGGCUUACCAGACAAUCCUAAUUCCCAGAUAAGUGAGCUCCAUAUAAGCAGAAUCAAAUAGGGCCUAUAAAUAGCAGUUCUACCAACCCUAAUGUUCAUGUAGAUCCAACUACAACUUGAUAUACGUUGUUCCGAGAGGAAAUAUCUUUAGGUAGAGAAAAUUCCUGCUAGUUGUAAACAGGGUACAUCAGCAUGGUUAAGAGAGUCACCCAAGUGGAUACCCAAAUAGUUUCUCCAGGAGUUCACAAGACAAGCAUGGUCUGGUCUCACUCUUAGAGCAAACGCCAAACGUUACACAAAGAAAAAAUAACAUUUUUAGCCUUUCCCUCACUCUUUCUGCACACUUGACUAUAACAAAAUAAAAGAACGAGAACGAUCUGAACAAUCAUCGAUGCCCUCUCAGCAAACUGAAACAAUGGAUUCAAUUAGAUCAAUAAGCGGUGCAAGCUCAGCCUUGUCGAUCAACUUGAAUUCCUGCACAAAGAACGAAACCGAUUCAAAAAAAAAAGAAAAGGACAAGAAUUAAUUGAUUAAUUCAAUCAAUAAACAUUUUCGGCUUGCACCUGAAAUAAUUCUGUUGGAAAAGAUGUCACAAUCACUGACGUGAAAGGGUAUACAUGUCAAAAAAAUGCAUGACGAAAUGGCAAGAAUGAAAGUUAUCAAUAACUUUUCUAUACUUCCAUAUCAUUUUUGAAAUUCUUUGGUUUUCCUACAAACAAAUGAAAACUCUUCUUUCUAACUGAUCAGAACGCAUCAUUCACGGAAAAUAUUUUACCAUGAGAUGGUGCUGUAUAGUGCUCAUGUUGGAGCUGCCAGUGUGUGGGAGCACCUUUAUCUUUUGUAUCUUAGAACUAAAACCUGUUUUUAUAACUCUAUCCUACUUAAUUGAAAGGCAGAGUUCCUACCAUUUGCUUCAAAAAAGGCAGAAGGAUCAAGGGGAG